This 292-nucleotide ribosomal RNA is filed under the name uncultured bacterium. RNAcentral describes it as "partial 16S ribosomal RNA". It matches the Rfam family "Bacterial small subunit ribosomal RNA", at positions 334 to 642 of the family's 1533-position model. The record is from RNAcentral.
UUUUCCUACGGGGCGCAGCAGUGGGGAAUAUUGCACAAUGGGGGAAACCCUGAUGCAGCAACGCCGCGUGAGUGAGGAAGUAUUUCGGUAUGUAAAGCUCUAUCAGCAGGGAAUAGAAAAGAAGGUACCUGCAAAGGAAGCACCGGCUAACUCCGUGCCAGCAGCCGCGGUAAUACGGAGGGUGCGAGCGUUAAUCGGAAUUACUGGGCGUAAAGCGCUCGUAGGCGGUAUGUCAAGUCAAGGGUGAAAUCCACGCGCUCAACGUGGGAACUGCCUUUGAAACUGGCAAACU